This 816-nucleotide ribosomal RNA is filed under the name uncultured bacterium. Its description in RNAcentral is "bacterial SSU rRNA". It matches the Rfam family "Bacterial small subunit ribosomal RNA", at positions 8 to 853 of the family's 1533-position model. The record is from RNAcentral.
AGAGUUUGAUCCUGGCUCAGGAUGAACGCUGGCGGCGUGCCUAACACAUGCAAGUCGAGCGAUUUUCUUCGGAAGAGAGCGGCGGACGGGUGAGUAACGCGUGGGUAACCUGCCUCAUACACAUGGAUAACAUACCGAAAGGUAUGCUAAUACAAGAUGAUAUAAGAGAUUCGCAUGGAUUUCUUAUCAAAGCUCCGGCGGUAUGAGAUGGACCCGCGUCUGAUUAGCUAGUUGGUAAGGUAACAGCUUACCAAGGCGACGAUCAGUAGCCGACCUGAGAGGGUGAUCGGCCACAUUGGAACUGAGACACGGUCCAAACUCCUACGGGAGGCAGCAGUGGGGAAUAUUGCACAAUGGGCGAAAGCCUGAUGCAGCAACGCCGCGUGAGCGAUGAAGGCCUUCGGGUCGUAAAGCUCUGUCCUCAAGGAAGAUAAUGACGGUACUUGAGGAGGAAGCCCCGGCUAACUACGUGCCAGCAGCCGCGGUAAUACGUAGGGGGCUAGCGUUAUCCGGAUUUACUGGGCGUAAAGGGUGCGUAGGUGGUUUCUUAAGUCAGGAGUGAAAGGCUACGGCUCAACCGUAGUAAGCUCUUGAAACUGGGAAACUUGAGUGCAGGAGAGGAAAGUGGAAUUCCUAGUGUAGCGGUGAAAUGCGUAGAUAUUAGGAGGAACACCAGUAGCGAAGGCGGCUUUCUGGACUGUAACUGACACUGAGGCACGAAAGCGUGGGGAGCAAACAGGAUUAGAUACCCUGGUAGUCCACGCCGUAAACGAUGAGUACUAGGUGUCGGGGGUUACCCCCCUCGGUGCCGCAGCU